CGAAAUAUAUCUCUCUCUCUCUCAAAUCCUCACGGAAAUCCCUAAGCCAAAAAUUUCCGCUCCCUAAAAUCGCCGUGGCGUCGUCGAUCUCAUCACUGAACUCGUCGCCGUUUCAUCUUGGAUCUCAUUUCUAAUCUCCUCUCCGAUAUUAUCUUCAAGGUCGAGCUACUCUCGUUGGUUUGAUCUUUCGUACUGGAGAUCGAAAGACCCCUCGAUUUCAGGUCUUAUGCGGGGACUGGAAACCCUAGCAGUCGUUUUGUUUUUGGGCCGAGAAGUCUGCAAAACCCUAUCUCAGUUCAACUGGUUGCUUAGAGAUUAUCUAAAGGCUCAAUGCUGAGGUUUUGUAGCUCUUCUUCUGAAGUUUAAUUACCUCGCAAAUUUCCCAUUCUCUCUUCGCCCCUAAAUAUUCAUUUUGUGAUUUUGAGCCUCAAAUCUCAUUGAUGGGAGCUUUGUAGGGUUGGAUCAACCAAUCUCUUCUCAUGAUCUCUGACCAAAUCAGGAGAUUCAAUCUUUGCUAUUGGAGAACGGAAGGAGAACUUGAGCUCAAGUGAUUUUUGAUGUUUUCCCCUUUUUUCACUCCUUGUAGCGUCAAGUUGUUUGAUUCCAAGCUUGAUUUAUAUCUUACCAGCUUUAGAGUGCCGAUGUGUAGGCCAUGCACCUUAGCUGGUAGGGGUUUGAUUGGUCUGACGAGGGUCUGAAACCCUGGCUAAGUUAGACUGGUUCCUUAGAGAUGUAGCUAGGCUUUACAUUAGAGAUUGAAAAGCUUGAUGCUGCGGUAUUUUAAUUGUUUUUCUGAAAUUUUGUUAUUUGUUUAGAUAUUUAAUGGUGUAGUCAUCUUCCAAGAUGCACAUAAAGAGGGUUAUCAUUGAAGGAUUUAAGAGUUACAAGGAACAAGUUGCUACAGAUCCCUUUAGUCCCAAAGUUAAUUGUGUUGAGAAUUGAGAAUGUUCAAGCGAGUGCGGAUUCUAUCAGAAGAGAGAGGUGUACGAUCAG
Asparagus officinalis (garden asparagus) is the source of this 993-nucleotide long non-coding RNA. RefSeq lists it as uncharacterized. The transcript has 5 exons. Lineage: Eukaryota; Viridiplantae; Streptophyta; Magnoliopsida; Asparagales; Asparagaceae. The record is from RefSeq and is a predicted model, not a curated record.